Exaiptasia diaphana is the source of this 401-nucleotide long non-coding RNA. RefSeq lists it as uncharacterized. The transcript is spliced from 2 exons. Lineage: Eukaryota; Metazoa; Cnidaria; Anthozoa; Actiniaria; Aiptasiidae. The record is from RefSeq and is a predicted model, not a curated record.
AGGUGGCCAAUCAAUGGGUAUAUAGCUAUAUAAGCACUGUGCGAUUGKGCCAGUCUUUGAAUUGUAUUUGACUGGCUUAACUUCUGAUUUCUGACUGAAAGUAGAACUCAAAACAAGAUGAGACUCAUCAUGCUUUCCGUGCUUGCCGUCAUCUGUUUUAUUGCUGUUUGUGAUGAAGCCAGUGCUGAGCCAAGACCUCCCCAUUCAUUCUGCCUAUCAGCUUGCGAAGCCAAGAAAAUUGAAUGUCUUCUCUCUGGGACUAUUGCGGAAAUAUGCGAAGAAAGUCAUUAUCAAUGCGAUAGUUCUUGCUAACCACACUCAACACUUGUAAUUAGAUUCAAUCAUAAGAUUCAAGCUAAAAUCAUAGCUAAUCAUGAAUAAAGAUAAAUGAAAUUACACUA